AACGCAUCUUGCACUAUUCGGCUUCCCCGGAUAGUAUGCCUGGUUGAGUGUCUGUGUAUCUCUCCUAUAUCAAUCUUUUUUGGUUGAUUGUAGGGACUUGGGGUUAUUCUCGUCGGUAUACUCUAACCAGUAUCCCGGUGAACCCUUUAAAUGUAGCAAGCUCCCAUCUUUCAUCGGAAAUACGCAAACUUGGGGAUGGCGUCGUAGCAAUCACUCUUAUCAGUAUUGUCGAAGCGCCUAUAUCAUACCUCUAAUCUGCGGUGCUAAUCCUUUAUCAAUGGGCGAAGCUUGACGACUGGCAAAGUGCCAUGCUCCCUUAUUUUGGAGUACACCGAACAAUAAUGACCUCAACUCAGGUAGGACGACCCGCUGGACUUAA
Molecule: unclassified non-coding RNA, 379 nt
Filed under: uncultured Ramicandelaber
Lineage: Eukaryota; Fungi; Kickxellomycota; Kickxellomycetes; Kickxellales; Kickxellaceae
Description: sequence contains ITS2
Source: RNAcentral